CUUGUCUGUUCCUUCUGAAUAAUGGUUAAGACUUUUUACUCAGUAAGUGAUCACAACCCCCAUUACAUGAAUUUAAGAACAGAUGCUAUUGGAAAAUACUGUGCUUCAAAUCUGGACAAACUGGACAUUAAUUAAUCAAUUCGAUAGACAUUUGAACAGAUACUGGUGUAUACAGGACACAGUGCUUAAUGACAAAAGACAGUUCCUGCUCAUAGAGUUUUCCAUUUGCAGAGAUACAUAAAUGAUGUCCAUCGAAUUUCAUAGCAUCACCACAGAGGCAAGUACAAGUUUCCUUUAGGAAAAGGCACAUGAUACUGGGCUAUAGAUUCAUGCCCCAGGAAGCAGAGUCUGAGAUGGAUAUUUAACUGCCGAAUAUUUAUAUGGAAUUCCCUCAGGGUAAACACCACAGGGAUAUAGAGGGUCAAGGAUUCCACAGAGGGAGAGUUUGAAUUUUGAAGCAGUCAGAACUCAGUACUCACCUGCUGUCUGAUGCCAGGGAGCUCUGCAGCCAAAGGCACCCUCCAGACUUGCCCACCUUUGGGGCAAAAGUGCAGGGCCUUAAUUUCCUUACCUCACAACAUACCAGGCAUUGAAUGAGAGCUGUCCUCUGUAGGGAGUGUGAUGCUGAGCAAAGGAGAUAUGGCUUUCUUGGGCUGAAGUCAAAUCCCAUGGAGGAACUCAACUGAGAGCUGUCAGUCACCAUCAAUGGGUGCCUCGGGCCUGAAAGGGGAUCUGGGCUGUGUACCAUGAGAUCCACACUUCACCCUGUAUCUGUCAGCUGCUCUCCAUACAGGUUUCCUGAUUCUGAGCCAGAUAAGUGUUUGGCACACCCCUGUCAUCUAAGUUGGAGGCUUAGAGAAGUAAGCAACCGAGGCGAGUUCCAGCUGGUCCUCACAGCUCACCUUCACAGGAUCCAGUUUAUCUUUGCUUUCUUCAUUUGCAUUCCGUCUUCUCUCCCCAAGUGAGUGCUCUGUGGAUAUUAGUCUCCAGCACCAGUUGCAGAAACAAAAGCCUUACACAGAAUGUAUAACCAACUUUCACAACUGAUUAAGGUCAGAUUGCUAAAAUCUUCCUUCCUUCCUUCCUUCCUUCCUUCCUUCCUUCCUUCCUUCCUUCCUUCCUUCCUUCCUUCCUUCCUUCCUUCCUUCCUCCUUCUUUUUCUUCCCCUUUCCUUUCUUCCUUCCAUCCUAUCUUCUAUUUACUAAAAGCUCUGAUGGUCUAACUGAAUCAUAACUGAUAAAGAAUUUGAACUGGAAGUGGUUAUAGAGGAAAGCUGGUAGCAAGAAGCUCUGAGAAAGAUAUAGGAGGAUAAACUAGGUGGGUAGAAAAUGUGCAUAUAUUUGUUUUCAAAGUGAAUGCUCACCAAAGAGCA
RNAcentral lists this long non-coding RNA (1372 nucleotides) under Callithrix jacchus (white-tufted-ear marmoset). RNAcentral describes it as "lncRNA (ENSCJAG00000058211.2)". Lineage: Eukaryota; Metazoa; Chordata; Mammalia; Primates; Cebidae. The record is from RNAcentral.